Molecule: ribosomal RNA, 427 nt
Filed under: uncultured bacterium
Lineage: Bacteria
Description: partial 16S ribosomal RNA
Rfam family: Bacterial small subunit ribosomal RNA
Source: RNAcentral
UGGGGAAUAUUGGACAAUGGGCGAAAGACUGAUCCAGCCAUGCCGCGUGUGUGAAGAAGGCCGUCGGAUUGUAAAGCACUUUAAGUUGGGAGGAAGGGCAGUAAAUUAAUACUUUGCUGUUUUGAAGUUACCGACAGAAUAAGCACCGGCUAAAUCUGUGCCAGCAGCCGCGGUAAUACAGAGGGUGCAAGCGUUAAUCGGAAUUACUGGGCGUAAAGCGCGCGUAGGUGGUUCGUUAAGUUGGAUGUGAAAUCCCCCGGCUCAACCUGGGAACUGCAUUCAAAACUGACGAGCUAGAGUAUGGUAGAGGGUGGUGGAAUUUCCUGUGUAGCGGUGAAAUGCGUAGAUAUAGGAAGGAACACCAGUGGCGAAGGCGACCACCUGGACUGAUACUGACACUGAGGUGCGAAAGCGUGGGGAGCAAACA